CUGAAUAUUCUUGCCAGUAGCCAUGGCCUGUAGACAGCACAUUCUGGUGCCAAGGAAAACCAUGAAGAAAAAAGAGCAGAAUCAAAAAAUGGUUAGGUGCUAACUACAACCUCCAUUCUCUUUGUGCAGCUUGGAGCAGGUCUCUGGAGGCACCUCAAGCACUACCGACAGGUAUGGAGGAUCAUGAGAAGUUUGGACCACACUUGGAUCUGUAAAAGAGAGAUUGGAUAAGAGAAGGAAAACAUCGGAGACCUUUCCCUCUGAAUAGAAAUUGUUCUACCUCUUUUAUUUUUUCAACAGAGGUCCUGAUAGGAUCUUCAACUCACAGUGCCUUGGCACAAUCAGGAUUUUAUCAGGAAAUUACUAUCUGUCCUUUUGGACUAUGGCUACAUAUUUUGUUUUUUCUGGACUUGCGGACUAAUGGGAUAACCAGAAAAAAAUUUCAUCCUUUGAGAGUUUCUUAGUUUUAAAAGUUUCCUAUCCUACAAGUAGCUUGGAAACUGAAACCUCCAACUUCCAAAAAACAAUUGAAAUGACAUGAAUUAAAAUAAUUGUUUCAUUUUUACAUUAACCUGGAAAUGCUUAAUCAUUUAAUAAUGAAUAAUGCAAAUUUCUCAAAAAUAAUA
Zonotrichia leucophrys gambelii is the source of this 626-nucleotide long non-coding RNA. RefSeq lists it as uncharacterized. Lineage: Eukaryota; Metazoa; Chordata; Aves; Passeriformes; Passerellidae. The transcript has 3 exons. The record is from RefSeq and is a predicted model, not a curated record.